This 493-nucleotide ribosomal RNA is filed under the name uncultured bacterium. RNAcentral describes it as "partial 16S ribosomal RNA". It matches the Rfam family "Bacterial small subunit ribosomal RNA", at positions 29 to 523 of the family's 1533-position model. The record is from RNAcentral.
AUUGAACGCUGGCGGCAUGCUUUACACAUGCAAGUCGAACGGUAACAGGUUAAGCUGACGAGUGGCGAACGGGUGAGUAAUGCAUCGGAACGUGCCCGGUCGUGGGGGAUAACGCAGCGAAAGCUGCGCUAAUACCGCAUACGAUCUGAGGAUGAAAGCGGGGGACCGUAAGGCCUCGCGCGAUCGGAGCGGCCGAUGUCAGAUUAGGUAGUUGGUGGGGUAAAGGCUCACCAAGCCAACGAUCUGUAGCUGGUCUGAGAGGACGACCAGCCACACUGGGACUGAGACACGGCCCAGACGCCUACGGGAGGCAGCAGUGGGGAAUUUUGGACAAUGGGCGAAAGCCUGGUCCAGCAAUGCCGCGUGCAGGAAGAAGGCCUUCGGGUUGUAAACUGCUUUUGUCAGGGAAGAAAACUGCUGGGCUAAUACCUUGGCAGGAUGACGGUACCUGAAGAAUAAGCACCGGCUAACUACGUGCCAGCCGCCGCGGUAA